GGAGGGAUGGCAGAGCGGUCGAAUGCACCGGUCUUGAAAACCGGCAGAGCCUUAACGGGCUCUCGUGGGUUCGAAUCCCACUCCCUCCG
RNAcentral lists this transfer RNA (89 nucleotides) under Desulfurellaceae bacterium. Its description in RNAcentral is "tRNA-Ser". It matches the Rfam family "tRNA". Rfam says of the family: Transfer RNA (tRNA) molecules are approximately 80 nucleotides in length. Their secondary structure includes four short double-helical elements and three loops (D, anti-codon, and T loops). The record is from RNAcentral. Lineage: Bacteria; Pseudomonadati; Campylobacterota; Desulfurellia; Desulfurellales; Desulfurellaceae.